GGCACCCCAAAUGGUUGAAGCUCCAAUAUGUCUCGCAGAACCAUGUUCACUUCAAAGGGAUAAGCAUGUACCGUUCUGCACUCCUUUGAAGGAGAAAAAAUAUGGGACAACAUGGCCAGCAACAACUACAUCCCAAUGGCACCCAUGUGCUAAUGCCAAUUGCCAAACGGCAAUUAAACAAAAAAGAAAGAUACAAGGUGCCCCAG
This 206-nucleotide long non-coding RNA is filed under the name Prunus persica (peach). RNAcentral describes it as "long non-coding RNA (PPER_LNC005881)". The record is from RNAcentral. Lineage: Eukaryota; Viridiplantae; Streptophyta; Magnoliopsida; Rosales; Rosaceae.